Long non-coding RNA from Malania oleifera, 908 nucleotides. RefSeq lists it as uncharacterized. The transcript is spliced from 2 exons. The record is from RefSeq and is a predicted model, not a curated record. NCBI's taxonomy places the organism in Eukaryota, Viridiplantae, Streptophyta, Magnoliopsida, Santalales, Ximeniaceae.
CAAUGCAAAACAAUUCUUCCGUUCCCCAUCCUCUUCCUCUUCCUCUUCCUCUUCCAUCUGUUCCCCUCCUUCAUCCUCUUCCUCUUCCUCUUCCGCCCAUUCCCCGCCCUUUUUCAUCUUCCUCUUCCUCUUCCUCUUCCGUUCUAUUUGUCAUGUUCCUCCUACUCUUUUGUCUUCCUCUUUCUCUUCCACCCUCCUCUUUCUCCUUCUCCCCUCUUCCAUGGCUUCCCAAGGCAAAUGGAAUGGUGGUUCUGCUUCUAAUCACCCUCCACCAAUCUUGCCUCAAAGGAAUAAUAUGUAGUGAUUUCAGCCACUGAUUCUUCAAAGAAAUCAUCUUCCAAGUUCUUCAAAACAUCCACAAACUUCAUAUUCUAGCAAAGAAUUUCAAAAUGUUCAAAAUCUUGCAUCAAAGCCUCCAGCGUUUGGUUUUUGCCAAAAUCUUCCACCAAACACCUUAGAUCUAGGGCAUUUGACUUCAAAUCAACAUCCACUUGAGGACAUGAAAGUAGAAGAAGCUUUUACUAAGGAAAUCCAGAUAGAAGGGCAGAUAGAGCUCUGCAGCAAUAGAAGUUGACCGAACUACCCUGCCAAAAGGGUAAGUAGUUGAGCUAGGGUUAGAUUGGUUUUUGGGUUAUGACCCUAAGAUGCUUUUUGGUCUUUUUGUUGAUGUUUAUAUAUGUUUAUGACAGAUUCAGUAGAACUUUGGUAUUGUGUCUGGUGUUGUAUGACAUGUAUGUAAUUUAUGUUUUCCGCUGCUUAGGUAUCAGAGAUGUAUGAUAGGUAUAUCUUCGGUACCCAUGGCUCCGAGUUGAUCAUGACUAUAACAGUUUAGUAGGAUAUUAGAGUUAUUAUGUAUGUGGUAAAAAAAAAACAAUUUAUGGUAAAAUAGGCGAGUUGUUACAAUUAAA